RNAcentral lists this ribosomal RNA (482 nucleotides) under uncultured bacterium. RNAcentral describes it as "partial 16S ribosomal RNA". It matches the Rfam family "Bacterial small subunit ribosomal RNA", at positions 28 to 507 of the family's 1533-position model. The record is from RNAcentral.
GAUGAACGCUGGCGGCGUGCCUAAUACAUGCAAGUCGAACGCUUCACUUCGGUGAAGAGUGGCGAACGGGUGAGUAAUACCUAAGUAACCUGGCAUCUACAGGGGGAUAACUGAUGGAAACGUCAGCUAAGACCGCAUAGGUGUAGAGAUCGCAUGAACUCUAUAUGAAAAGUGCUACGGGACUGGUAGAUGAUGGACUUAUGGCGCAUUAGCUUGUUGGUAGGGUAACGGCCUACCAAGGCGACGAUGCGUAGCCGACCUGAGAGGGUGACCGGCCACACUGGGACUGAGACACGGCCCAGACUCCUACGGGAGGCAGCAGUAGGGAAUUUUCGGCAAUGGGGGAAACCCUGACCGAGCAACGCCGCGUGAAGGAAGAAGUAAUUCGUUAUGUAAACUUCUGUCAUAGAGGAAGAACGGUGGAUAUAGGGAAUGAUAUCCAAGUGACGGUACUCUAUAAGAAAGCCACGGCUAACUACGUG